Molecule: ribosomal RNA, 506 nt
Filed under: uncultured bacterium
Lineage: Bacteria
Description: bacterial SSU rRNA
Rfam family: Bacterial small subunit ribosomal RNA
Source: RNAcentral
GUGAGGAAUAUUGCACAAUGGAGGAAACCCUGAUGCAGCAACGCCGCGUGGAGGAUGACGCAUUUCGGUGUGUAAACUCCUUUUAUCAGAGAAGAAAAUGACGGUAUCUGAUGAAUAAGCUCCGGCUAACUCCGUGCCAGCAGCCGCGGUAAUACGGAGGGAGCAAGCGUUAUUCGGAAUCACUGGGCGUAAAGGACGCGUAGGCGGGUUUUUAAGUCAGGUGUGAAAUCCUAUGGCUCAACCAUAGAACUGCACUUGAAACUGGGGACCUAGAGUAUGGAAGGGGCAGGUGGAAUUAGUGGUGUAGGGGUAAAAUCCGUAGAUAUCACUAGGAAUACCGAAAGCGAAGGCGACCUGCUGGGACAUUACUGACGCUGAGGCGUGAAAGCGUGGGGAGCAAACAGGAUUAGAUACCCUGGUAGUCCACGCCCUAAACGAUGAAUGCUAGUCGUCGGGGAGCUUGUCUCUUCGGUGAUGCACUUAACAGAUUAAGCAUUCCGCCUGGG